This 875-nucleotide long non-coding RNA is filed under the name Helianthus annuus (common sunflower). Its description in RNAcentral is "sRNA HanXRQr2_Chr03g0136601". Lineage: Eukaryota; Viridiplantae; Streptophyta; Magnoliopsida; Asterales; Asteraceae. The record is from RNAcentral.
GCCCCCACUAUGCUUCGCCAAUGCCGAUCGGCAAGUUGAUGUUGGCGGUGGACAUGCCGUGCGUCAAGGUGGUUGCCGACAGGGGUGGCCUAACCCACCCCGCACACCCUUAGUGGUGUUUUGUUUUGUACUUUGAACAUAAAUGAGAAACAAUGGAGCCAAUGCUAAUUGCUACCUUGAUUUUUAAAAACUAGUGCUAAGAUCAUACUUCCCCCUUUACGCAUAAGUUACAUCUAUAUUUUAUAAUUGACACAAUAACAUACAAUUUGCCUUCUAGUAACUCGUACAUCAAAGUUUCAAGCAAUCGUUUUCACUCUAGUUAAGCCUUAUUGUGCGUGUUCACGCAGUCCGAUAGAGAUUAAUGCAACUUAAUGAACUGCAAUCCGAAUAUCAAAAAAACUAUAGGUAAAUAAGGUAAGUAUGAUUUUCCAAAUUUAUCUCAAUACAAUCUGAUCCUCCAAAUCUGAUUGUAUAACCCUAAUUUAGAAUCUAGAUCACCUUUUUUCCCCAAAUAAGCAGUUUAAUUGCACAUCCAAAAGCACUCUUACUAUACAAUAUCUACCAUAAGUAUAGAGAUCAUCACAUCACAUCCUGAUCAACACAACGUUCUCUGUUAGAUCUCACAACUAAUUAAAUCUCUAAAUUCUCAACUUAAAAACCCUAGAGAACACCGUAAACCUAACCAGAGGAAAUCAAACAACGGAUAAAACGAAAUUUGAUAAAAUAGGAUGGAUCGUAACGAAUAAGACAUAACAGAUAGUUAUAAUUUGAAUCAAAUCGGUAUAAUAAUGGAUCUGUGAUGAGAAAUUUGAAACCCUAACCUGAAAGGAUGAAGAUUACCGUUGGUGAAGUGAAGAGAUGCAGAUGAAUAUUGU